CCUGCGUAACUGCAAAGGCUGGAUUUCUUCCAAAUAAACAGAUAAAAACAGUAUGGAACUUUUAUCUUUUAAUGAUAAUGACAACACAUCAUGUUUCACUAAAAGUUUCCUGCUGAAUUUUUUUCUGAUUUCUAGAGUUUCAAUAAAAUGUAAUUAUACUUUAUAAUUCCACUCUUUUAAUCUUCACUUCAAAAACUAUUCACAGUUAGCAAGUUUGCUAGGCAUGGAGAGUGGGUGAGAAGAGGGAGCGGACGUCCCCCCACAUCGGGCUGCUCAGAAAUUCUGUCUUGGGGUAAACCUGUCAGGAAACAGCGCAAACCAAGCUGCUUUGCAUUCAGAUUAAUACCUAGUUUAAUUUGAAUAGAAAAUAGCUCCAUUUAUGUGGUUAUUAAGGAAAAGUAGUGAAAGCGUUUGGCAAUGAAUGGAUGUUUAAGCUAGGAUACACUUGCAACCUAUGCCUUUAUAAUUCUUGUUCCUUUUUUCUUCUUCUUUUUUAAUCCUGAAGGGAAUAUACUUUGGUAUCAGGAUGCUUUCCUAUCAGUAGAUAAGGCAUUAAAACAAAGCAAUACCUAUAAAAUCCAAUUUGUUAAUAUGCAGAGAGUCAGAAAGUUCCCAUUACCACAACACCGAAUUAGAUUUCAGGGGUUUUGUUCGAGUAAAUCUUCACAUCUUGUCCUUUGCUCUGUUCAGAGAAAUGCCAGCAAUUUCAUUAAGAACUUCUGCUGCUAAAUGAUUUCAUGGAGUUGUUUAGCAGGGCAGAGAAGAGGAGGAGGAGAGGAAUGCCACAAUUAUACCUUCCUCUUCCAGCUCAGAAGGGCCAGACUUAAAGAAAUUGGUUUUGUGCAGUUACAUUCAUAGGAAAAAGUAUGGAAAAAAAAAAAAAAAAGAAAGGGAACGGUGUGCCUCAGCUGGGCAGCGUGGUGGAGGCAGACGGCUCGGAGGAGACCUGUCGCAACGCUUGACUCCUUCUGCUCGUGCAGGUUUGGCGCUUAAGCUAAUUUGUAAGCAUUUAGGGCCGGACUCUGAUCUCCCUCCUGCCGCAGCCGCUCCACAGAGGCUGGCGAGCGCUUCCCAGCAGACACGAGGUGGGGAACCUCGCCGGCUGGAUUUGGUCCCGUCUCCGAUGUUUUGUGCUGCCGGGUGUGGGUGUAAGUAAUUCUGACAAAGCGAGGUGCUGGAGGUGGAGC
RNAcentral lists this long non-coding RNA (1187 nucleotides) under Anas platyrhynchos platyrhynchos (common mallard). RNAcentral's name for it is "lncRNA (ENSAPLG00000024658.1)". The record is from RNAcentral. Lineage: Eukaryota; Metazoa; Chordata; Aves; Anseriformes; Anatidae.